GAUGAACGCUGGCGGCGUGCCUAAUACAUGCAAGUCGAGCGAACAGACGAGGCGCUUGCUCCUCUGACGUUAGCGGCGGACGUGUGAGUAACACGUGGAUAACCUACCUAUCAGACUGGGAUAACUUCGGGAAACCGGCGCUAAUACCGGAUAAUAUAUUGCACCGCAUGGUGCGAUAGUGAAAGACGGUUUUGCUGUCACUUAUAGAUGGAUCCGCGCCGCAUUAGCUAGUUGGGAGGGUAACGGCUUACCAAGGCAACGAUGCGUAGGCGACCUGAGAGGGGGGUCGGCCACCCUGGAAGGGAGACGCGGUCCUGAGUCCUGCGGGAGGCAGCAGUAGGGAAUCUGACGCAGUAGUCGAGAGCCUUACGGAGUGACGCGGAGCCAGUGAUGGCGGUCUCCGGAGCGGAAUACUCGGUUAUUAGUGAAAAACAAAUGUGUAAGUAGCUAUGCACGGCUUGACGGUACCUGGUCAGAAAGCCACGGCUAACUACGUG
This 497-nucleotide ribosomal RNA is filed under the name uncultured bacterium. RNAcentral describes it as "partial 16S ribosomal RNA". It matches the Rfam family "Bacterial small subunit ribosomal RNA", at positions 28 to 507 of the family's 1533-position model. The record is from RNAcentral.